This is a long non-coding RNA of Varroa destructor (honeybee mite), 3142 nucleotides long. RefSeq lists it as uncharacterized. NCBI's taxonomy places the organism in Eukaryota, Metazoa, Arthropoda, Arachnida, Mesostigmata, Varroidae. The record is from RefSeq and is a predicted model, not a curated record.
UGCAUUUUCUGCACAGCAAAGGUAUAAAUAAUAGUCGAAGAUAAGUAGUUACAUAGGACAUAUCAUUGACCUGCUGAUCCUAGGCAAUUUUCAAAAGAAAACAUAAAACACUAAAAUACUGAUACGCUAAACAGAUAGAUAACGACCAUAGCUGUCGAAAAUAAUUAGCAGUUAGUGAACUUUAUUUCGUAAUGAACAGUUGCUCCUUUAAUAUCUAACCUCCCUCUCCUUGAUUUAUUAUCUUUACACACACACAAUAUAUUUAAAAUAUAAAUAAUAGAACAAAAUACCAAUUAGACAACAUUUGCGGCCAGUUAUAGAAAUCGUUUGUCUCAACUUUGUAUAUCGCAAAAACAUUGAAUAUCGUCUCAUUGCGUGGAUGUACCGCAUAUCUGGCUAUAAGUUCGAUUAUUCUUCUUGCCUGUGGCAGGCGAUAUGCUCGAAACAUAUAAUAACUUUAAUUAUUUUAUCUCCUACGGCUUAACAGGACCUGAAAAGAGUUUAUGCUGAAGAAAUCAAUAUAAGCGGAGGGAGCAGAAUAAGCCGGAGAGCAAACAGUUUCAUACUUAUUCAAAAAUAUACCCUCUAGUCUGAAAAGAUCUGACCGACAAUAUUUUUGAUGAGAGUCACUCGAACAACCUAUCAGUUCUCUCAGGGAGAUUUGUAUAAUUCGUUCGGCCAGAAUUAACACCUAUGACCUUCGGGACGAUUGGCACCUGUUAUCGUCGGUUUUCUGCAGAGCCUGUAUGAACAUUUUAUCCGCAGAGUCCAUGAAGUUCUCCCCCCGCCGGGGAGAGGUUUUCUAUUAGCCCGUAGGCACGUUCAGUGAACACAGGCUCUCAAUUAGAUGGCUGGGUUCCGGUGCGAAACGAGGUUUAUUUAUGUCCAGGUUUGAAGCUAGACAAGAACGUGUCCCUAAGAUACCCAGUAAGACUUCAUGCUUCUCAUAACUGGAAGCACUGUAGAUGGCCAGCGCUUGAAGGUGGCCUCCUUUCCAGAAAUGAAUAUCCUUAUCCUUUUGCAUCUGGAGUUUCAUGGCUGAGCUUCGGUCUUGACCUGCGGACUUGACAGGGCUGGCGCGCCAAAGUAAGAGAACUUAACCUGACCUGACAUGGAUCGGUCUGGGUGAUAGCCACAGCACGCAUCCGUAUGUUGGGCGCACACCACUUCUCUAUAGAGAUAUUUAUUUAGGACCAACAAGACCUAGCAGCUAAUGAAAGAUCCGUUCAGCCUGCGUUAGAACACUCCGUCGCUCGGCCCCAUAAUCGUCUCGUGUGAAAAAAUUGUUUACAGGAAUGCAUGAAGUUGCUGAAACCGGGGGGGGCAGUAAUCAUGGAUUGUGACUUGGUAAGAGCCAAUAACAUUGGUCGCUAGCAAAGAAUCCAUGACGAAAAUGCUGUAUAGAUUAGCACAGGAGGGGGGAGGAAGAACUUACUACUCCACACGCGAGGAAUCUCAAAAGUGUGGGCGGAGAUGUUAAACCCCGGCACCAGCCCUCAGACCUUGUGUCGCAGGACCUUGCAAAACGGCCAUACCAUUUAAGAUAAGCACGCUUGUUAAUCAUAAGGGCAACGCACUUCGCAAGGUUAUCGGUAAAAUGGGCUCAAAGGUCAAAACGCUAUAUAUCCUCACGCGUUGGCUAGGUGUCAUUUUUAAUAUACUAUAUUAACAAGCUUCAUUCAAAAGUUAUCUAACGAAAAAGAAAAAUACCGCGGCAUAUAUUGCAACGUCGUAAGCUCGCUAUGUACAAACAAGAUGACCGUGUACAAAUCAGAAUGAAUCGCAAUUAAUGUAACUUCAAAAUACUCUAAAUAUACCCAACGGGGCACAAAAUUCUAAGCGGUCAAUUACAAAUGGCGCAAAGGUGAUAUUUAUUAGGAACAUAUCCAAUGUUGUUUUGUGAUUGAAGGCAAUAACGGUGCUAUACUUUUACUACAUUUGUGUAAUAGAUUAGGGGAUUCAGCUGUCUCUGAACGGAAACACCUGUUCAAGUUAUGAAAAGCCAAAAAUUCGGCUGCUUCAUAGGAUAUAGCCAAUAAGAACCAAGCUUUUAAGUUGUUCAAAACCAAGCUAGGCUGAAAGCAUCCAAGCAUAUUCAAAAAGUUCCAGUAACGCAAUUAGUCUGCUACAGAAUGCGUGCUUGUCUUGCUAGGGACUACGAAAAACAUACUUCUUUGGGAGCAGCGUACAAAAGUUGUACAUAACUUGUAAGGGGUCAUCUGGGUAAAUUCAACAUGUACUUGAUUUCAAUACCAAAUGAAAUAAACUGAAGUCGUUUACCAUAUAAUGUUGUUUCCUGUAUUUAGAAAAAAAAACUACUAGUAAUACAUUGAAUAAUCGUUGUUUACGAAUUUCGAGGGAACGUAUUACUGUCAAUAGUCAAAGUACGCACAGCGCCUUGCGUUAGAAACAUAACCAUUGCAUAUCUAUAUAGAUUCUCAAUUUCUGGGGGGUCCCUAUGGUGUGUUAUAUCCCCAGUGUAUACAUAUGUUUAAAUAUAUGUGUGUUUAUGCCCACCUAAGGUUACUAGAUCAGAUGUGAGAUCAUACUGGCGCGCUGAUCAUACAGUGACGCGCUGGCUGUAUACCCUUCGAAGUAUCGAAGCCAUACCAAAAGCAAGAAUAUCUUCCAACAAGUAGCUUCCGGGCGGAACUUGUUGGCAGUGGAAUGGAGGUCACUGCACCGAAGUGAACAUGCUUUCUCACCCUAUGCAUCCCACACGACUAAAAUAGCUUUAUGUGCAAGCACGCCAUUUGGGCUCGUAUGCAUCGACCCAUUGAGCCUAAUUUCAGUAGCAGGAAUGCUUGACAGAUGGAAAGCGAGCGAUCGGCUCGCGCAAAACGCUAAAUACCAAACGAGAAUAGCGCGGGUUGGGAGAGCGCGUCACCUUUAAAUCUACUUGUUGAAGAUGCAAAAACUGCUUUACGCGAGUAAAUUGGCUAAUUAGCUAUUUAAAAAGUGUAUGUAAAGGCUUCUUUUUUGAACAGCCAUGUUCAAGGUUUGAAUCGUAUAUAUACCAAAGGACGCACAAUGCAGGCGAUUUGUUUAGCGUACGUUACUCCGUUCACCGUAUGAACGGCAUCGCGGAAAAAUCACUGAUGCUUAGCUUCAACGGUCAAUACUUUUUAAGCGAUUUUUUUUA